CUUCCCAGCUGAAUGGGAUUGCUCUCUGGGUAAAGGUAUCCAAGUGGUCAUACUGUCCUUGUGCAAGACAGAGGAAUGGAAGGAGCCAGAGGAAAAAAGCAUUCACAAAAGUCCUUCACAUAUUCCUCACACACUCUUUAAGCAUUUAUGGGGCAGCUGCUGUGAGCCAGUCUUCAUUCUGAGCAUUCUGGAGGCACAGAUGAACAAGACAUAAUCUUUACCCAUGAAGAGCUGAACUAAAAUGGGGCAGAAAAACAGUAAACAACAGAUUGCAAUAUAAAGCGACACUCCUAUCCCCUGGGGAGGGAAAAGGCGUUACAGGAUUACACAGAAGGAAGGGAACCGUGCCUGGUGCUGUGAGGAGGUGGGUUGGUUCCAGGCAAGGAAAGGCUGUGCGCAGCGAAGGUGCAAGAACAGAACCAGAAGGGUGAGUAGGAAUAUCAGGAAAUAAAUCCUCUCCUUAUUUCCUGUGGGUACCACAGAAUAUCAAACCUUCAUAGCUGACAAAAAACUUCAUCUCUCAAAGCAGUUUCCCCACCUAAGUGCCCCCUCAGUGUCAAGGCAGCAAGAUUUCUGCCCAAUAUGCUAACCGACUGGGUUGUGACAUUUCAUAAUGUUAUCUGAAGGGUGGCUGGCGGGGAUAGCAAAAUCUCAUCCCAGUGAGGAGGAAACAUCACCAUCAUUGAAACUUCCUGAUUCGCCAUAGGAAGCAACAAGAAAGCAGCCCGUUGACUUAAUUUUAACUUUCCCUUCAUAUCUAAUUUUAGCUGUCAAAAUCUUUGUGUGUAAGAGCAACAAGAGCAAUGAAAUAAAUUCUUAGGGUAAUAGUUUAUCUGUGAAACAAUCAGGAAGUGAAUGAGUAUCUACUGGAGACACAAUGAAGGAUAUAGAAAUAGAAGGCAGGACCUUGGUGUCUGAGAAGCCAAAAUCUAAUUGCAAUGACUGGAGUAUUUGAAUCAGCUAACUAGAAAAUGUACACACGUUCUAUAGUUCUGACAUGACGUGGCAAAUAUUUAACAUUUCAGUGAAAAUAAAGGGGCCA
RNAcentral lists this long non-coding RNA (1042 nucleotides) under Fukomys damarensis (Damara mole-rat). Its description in RNAcentral is "lncRNA (ENSFDAG00000025793.1)". Lineage: Eukaryota; Metazoa; Chordata; Mammalia; Rodentia; Bathyergidae. The record is from RNAcentral.